RNAcentral lists this small nuclear RNA (312 nucleotides) under Chinchilla lanigera (long-tailed chinchilla). RNAcentral describes it as "7SK RNA (ENSCLAG00000022205.1)". It matches the Rfam family "7SK RNA". Rfam says of the family: 7SK was discovered as an abundant small nuclear RNA in the mid-70s but a possible function has only recently been suggested. Two independent studies have found that 7SK RNA binds the CDK9/cyclin T complex (known as elongation factor P-TEFb). P-TEFb activates transcription by phosphorylating the C-terminal domain of RNA polymerase II. The record is from Rfam by way of RNAcentral. Lineage: Eukaryota; Metazoa; Chordata; Mammalia; Rodentia; Chinchillidae.
UGAUGUGAGGGUGGUCUGGCUACAACACGCUACCCUAUUGAUCGCCAGGGUGGACUGGGCUGCUCUGGCCGGCUAGGUGGGUGUCCCGUUCCCCUCCCUGCUCCAUGUGUCCCGCCAGAAGCCUGUGUGCUAGGUGGAAGGGGACGACCAGCCCCACUACAGGAGGACUGUUUCCUCAGUCAAGGAUACAAGAGCAGCUGCACUCCCCUGCAAAACCUCCGAACAAGCUCUCAAGGAAGACGGUGAAGUGAGAAAGAACAGAAUUUGAGAGUUUGGAUCUGUUUACAGGAAAAAAAUAUGACAUCAUUUUGU